RNAcentral lists this ribosomal RNA (467 nucleotides) under uncultured bacterium. Its description in RNAcentral is "partial 16S ribosomal RNA". It matches the Rfam family "Bacterial small subunit ribosomal RNA", at positions 28 to 507 of the family's 1533-position model. The record is from RNAcentral.
GAUGAACGCUGGCGGCGUGCUUAACACAUGCAAGUCGAACGGAAAGGCCCAAGCUUGCUUGGGUACUCGAGUGGCGAACGGGUGAGUAACACGUGGGUGAUCUGCCCUGCACUUCGGGAUAAGCCUGGGAAACUGGGUCUAAUACCGGAUAGGACCACUUCUUGGAUGUUGUGGUGGAAAGUUUUUUCGGUGUGGGAUGAGCUCGCGGCCUAUCAGCUUGUUGGUGGGGUAAUGGCCUACCAAGGCGUCGACGGGUAGCCGGCCUGAGAGGGUGUACGGCCACAUUGGGACUGAGAUACGGCCCAGACUCCUACGGGAGGCAGCAGUGGGGAAUAUUGCACAAUGGGCGCAAGCCUGAUGCAGCGACGCCGCGUGUGGGAUGACGGCCUUCGGGUUGUAAACUCCUUUCGCUAGGGACGAAGCGUUUUGUGACGGUACCUGGAGAAGAAGCACCGGCUAACUACGUG